RNAcentral lists this ribosomal RNA (497 nucleotides) under uncultured bacterium. Its description in RNAcentral is "partial 16S ribosomal RNA". It matches the Rfam family "Bacterial small subunit ribosomal RNA", at positions 28 to 507 of the family's 1533-position model. The record is from RNAcentral.
GAUGAACGCUGGCGGCGUGCCUAAUACAUGCAAGUCGAGCGAACAGAUGAGGAGCUUGCUCCUCUGACGUUAGCGGCGGACGGGUGAGUAACACGUGGAUAACCUACCUAUAAGACUGGGAUAACUUCGGGAAACCGGAGCUAAUACCGGAUAAUAUAUUGAACCGCAUGGUUCAAUAGUGAAAGACGGUUUUGCUGACAAUUAUAGAUGGAUCCGCGCCGCAUUAGCUAGUUGGUAAGGUAACGGCUUACCAAGGCGACGAUGCGUAGCCGCCCUGAGAGGGUCGUCGGCCACCCUGGAUCUGAGACACGGUCCAGACUCCUACGGGGGGCAGCAGUAGGGAAUCUUCCGCAAUGGGCGAAAGCCUGACGGAGCAACGCCGCGUGAGUGAUGAAGGUCUUCGGAUCGUAAAACUCUGUUAUUAGGGAAGAACAAAUGUGUAAGUAACUACGCACGUCUUGACGGUACCUAAUCAGAAAGCCACGGCUAACUACGUG